Molecule: unclassified non-coding RNA, 330 nt
Filed under: uncultured fungus
Lineage: Eukaryota; Fungi
Description: sequence contains ITS1
Rfam family: 5.8S ribosomal RNA (bases 1-105)
Source: RNAcentral
GAAACGCGAUAAGUAGUGUGAAUUGCAGAAUUCAGUGAAUCAUCGAAUCUUUGAACGCACAUGGCGCCCCCCGGCAUCCCGGGGGGCAUGCCUGUCCGAGCGUCGUUUCAACCCUCGGGCCCGUCUUCGUGGCCCGGCGUUGGGGACCUACGCCCCGCCGUAGGCCCCGAAAAGCAGUGGCGGACCCGCGCCGGCCCCCCCUUGCGUAGUAGCAUCAGCCUCGCAUCGGGAGCCCGCGGGCGUCUCCGGCCUCUAAACCCCCCCAAAGACCGCCCCCCGGCGGCACCAAAGGUUGACCUCGGAUCAGGUAGGAAUACCCGCUGAACUUAA